GAGCGGAGGGGGGGGUCCGAAGGCGGCCGCGGACAGCGCCGCCCGUCACCUCUCGCCCCCGUCCCCGGCGGCGGAUCCUCCGCCUGAGAGUUCACUCACCGCCGCUUCGGCCGGCGCCGGGCUCCCGCCGCCCUGACGGGGCUGGGCUCCCGCCGCCCUGACGGGGCUGCCUCCCGCGGGAGGUGGGCAGGAGGCUCCCCCGGCUCGGGGAAGGUUGUAGCUGGGGUUGAACAGAAGAAGCCUGGCCGAGCACCCAGCCCGGCUGCCGGGACGCCGGUGGGCAGGAGAACCGGCAUGGGAACCGGAGAGAGAGGGUCGCGGUCAAAGUUAGACAUUCAAAUUACCUGUUUCUUCAAGUGAGGUAAAGGAAUGAAGGAGAGGAAUCUCGCCUGUGCCCUCCUGGAGAGGAGAGUUGCAGUAUUGAGUGCAAGAAGUUAUUAGACAUCAGAAUAUCCCAAGAGGAAAAGACUUGUCCCACUGACAGAGAAAAAAGCUUUAAUCCAAGUUUUAAUAAAUAUAAUUUUAAAAAGAAAAAAAAACAACCCAGAGGAAGUCACAACUUCUUAUUUCUGCAGCUCACAGAACUAAUUGUUGGAGGAGCGUUUGAUUGUGUGUGUUUACUGGCAGGGGAAGAACAGGAUUGUGUCCAAGGAUACAGCUGGUCAGACAAAAAAGUUGCAGCCGUGCUGGUGACAGGAUUCCGGAAGCGUGGGAUGUGUGUUAACCUCCAGCGAGUGCAAAUGUAUGUGGGGUUUGACCCCGAAUAACCCACCCGAAGAAGUGAACCAACGCUUUACAGACGCAAACAAAGAGAAUCACAGAUGGGGACGUGCCUGGGUGACAGAAAAGAGAGGAGAAAUGUGACAAGGACAAGAGAGGAUUCACAGGCGCCUGCCGAGCAGAUCCCCUGGAGGUGACCAAGGGUGCAGUUAGAUGGGUUUUCUGCCAGAAAGGUGAAUAGAUUCCCCCUGAAGUCAUAAAAGUAUCAGGAGUGAGCACAAAGGAAGAGUUGAAACCGUUUGGCUGGGAGGAACAGGACCAUCCCUUUGGUGAUACAGCACUCUUAAAUCAUCUCCGUAGUCUCAUCUAACUCCUCCUUAAUAGAAACUUCAUGUUACUGCUAGGAAGUCUAACAUGUAGGUGUCAUUGAAAAGGUUGGUCACUUCCACUUCUCACCCUCAGUUAGAUUCUCCCAUUGCUUCCUUUAUGCCCAGUCUUGUAUACGUGUGACCCUGGGGCUUAGCCAGUGAGCAAGCUAAAUCAGGAGGUUUUUUUAGAAAGAUAGUUUUCUGAUUAAUUCCUGAAACAGUUAACAAGAGAGUCAGAUGAGUGGCAGAGGUUGCACAAGAGAAGGAACAAGACCGAGCGCUUGCAAACAAUGGAUUGAGCUUUUCAGCAGCAGCUGGGCACUUCUUACGUGGUGUAACAUAAACCAAAGGCAGCAGUGAGGAGGAGUGGUCUGUAAGUGAAGAAGUACUUUUGAGGAGCAGAAUUUGCUCUGUGCUUUACAGAGUGGCAAUGAGAAGAGAGGGAAAAAAAAAAAAAAAGAUAGGCUGGUAAGGGAUUAAAAAAAAAAUUUCAGUUCCGCAAAACCAGAGGAAGACGCACAACAGAGGCAUCUUGGAACCAGAGCACAGGAAGAAAAUCUGAUAUUGAAAAAACAGAAGGCAGAAAUGAUCUGUGGCAGAUGGAAAACCAAGAAGUGGAAAAGUGAAGAUUCAAACCAAAAAUAGAGAGGAAGAAGUCUGCAUGAUUAGAAACUUCUUGUUGAGAAGAACCAAUUGACCUGUCACGUCUGUAAGGAACAAGGAUUUGAGAUGUGCUGCUGAGACUGAAAAGCGUCCUGUUAGAGUCAGCAGAAGUCCUUCACAGAGGGAAAAAUGUCAACAACACGCACUAUUUAUACACAAACACAGUGUGUGGGAGUACAUCAGGGGAGAGAACCUGCAACUACAGGAUUGCCAGCCCCUCGCAUGCAAGCUGCGUUGGGGAUUUAAGAAGAAAGGAGUUGUGGUGCUUCCUCUUUUUGUCCUUCCUGCUGAUCCCUGGUGUUACUGGCCCCAUUUCUCACACUUUUAUAUGCGCUAAGAAAUGCUGCAAGUCCUUUGCAAGGAUCUACGAAGUGUCUGCACAACGCUGUCUGCACCACAUCUUUCCUUGUUUAAAUGUUUUCCAUAAACCUGUAAAGCUAUCAUUGUUUUCACUUGAAUAUCAAAACAUAAAUUCUUGCAAGUUGUCUGACUAAGCAUGUGGAAAUUAAAACUGUGAGUACU
Molecule: long non-coding RNA, 2273 nt
Organism: Calidris pugnax (ruff)
Lineage: Eukaryota; Metazoa; Chordata; Aves; Charadriiformes; Scolopacidae
Exons: 3
Source: RefSeq, a predicted model, not a curated record